CAGAAAAGGCGUAAUGAAAAAAUUCAGCACCAGCGCGUCUAGGCAAACUCAAUAUCUAUAUCCUAACAGACUUUUGAUGAAUUAACAUAAGAAAAAGAAACAAUAAAGAAGCAGAAUCUGAUGUUUGUUACACGCUAAAGAAUGGCCCUCGUCUACCUCACUUUCUCACAAACAAUACAACAUACAGGAUUGGUUCUCCGAAGGAUCCAAGCAAUGACAAUUAUGAUGAGGAUCCACUUGCAGUCCAUGUGAAUUCUGUUAAAUCCAGCUAUGUAUAUCAUGGCCACUAAUUGAUCUAAAAUGCCAUUCGACCAGCAAGC
RNAcentral lists this unclassified non-coding RNA (320 nucleotides) under Hevea brasiliensis (rubber tree). The record is from RNAcentral. Lineage: Eukaryota; Viridiplantae; Streptophyta; Magnoliopsida; Malpighiales; Euphorbiaceae.